Molecule: long non-coding RNA, 516 nt
Filed under: Fukomys damarensis (Damara mole-rat)
Lineage: Eukaryota; Metazoa; Chordata; Mammalia; Rodentia; Bathyergidae
Description: lncRNA (ENSFDAG00000032316.1)
Source: RNAcentral
UAAAAGUUGAAGAAACUGGAAUCUGAUAUUUACAAGUGAUGGCACCAAAAGAUGCUCAAGUAGAAUAGAGCUCUUCAAAACGUGCACCAACUUGCUCUUUCUCUUUUAUUCCAAGCUAGAAGCCUGUGGAUGGUGUCACUCCAGAUCACAGCAAGUUUUAGCCCUCAGUUUGCUGGCCAUUGUGCCAGUCAGUUAUUGACGGAAACACCCACAGACACAUCCAGAAAAAUGCUUUGCUAAUCUGCUAGGCAUGUCCACUCCGUUCAAAUUGAUAUAUUAUGAUUGAUAUCAUUUUACCACAGAAAAUCUAUCUACAGAGGAAAUGGAAUGAAAUCCAGUCAUUCUCCACAUGGAUUUUUAGCCAAACUUCAACAGCCACAUCCUCCUCCUACACCCAGAUUUCUCAUCUCAGCAAAUGAGCUGAAGGAAAAAUAACUGGACGUCUUUGUGUAAGCCACAGCCUGUGUGCGCUGUCUCCACUCCUUGAAAAUAGAUUCACAAAGAUCUCAAACACCC